This 253-nucleotide ribosomal RNA is filed under the name uncultured bacterium. Its description in RNAcentral is "partial 16S ribosomal RNA". It matches the Rfam family "Bacterial small subunit ribosomal RNA", at positions 524 to 776 of the family's 1533-position model. The record is from RNAcentral. RNAcentral also lists the same sequence under 1 other name.
UACAGAGGCCCCAAGCGUUACUGAGAAUCACUGGGUUUAAAGGGUGCGUAGGUGGCGCGUUAAGUCCGUUGUGAAAUCCCUGGGCUCAACCCAGGAACUGCUUCGGAUACUGGCGUGCUUGAGGCUAGUAGGGGUCACUGGAACUGACGGUGGAGCGGUGAAAUGCGUAGAUAUCGUCAGGAACGCCGAUGGUGAAGACAGGUGACUGGGCUAGAUCUGACACUGAGGCACGAAAGCGUGGGGAGCGAACGGG